GUGUGUGUGUUUCAGUUAGUAGAGGGCUUGCCUAGCAUCCAAGAAGCCCUGGAUUCAAUUCCCAGCACCACA
RNAcentral lists this transfer RNA (72 nucleotides) under Cricetulus griseus (Chinese hamster). It matches the Rfam family "tRNA". From Rfam's summary of the family: Transfer RNA (tRNA) molecules are approximately 80 nucleotides in length. Their secondary structure includes four short double-helical elements and three loops (D, anti-codon, and T loops). Further hydrogen bonds mediate the characteristic L-shaped molecular structure. tRNAs have two regions of fundamental functional importance: the anti-codon, which is responsible for specific mRNA codon recognition, and the 3' end, to which the tRNAs corresponding amino acid is attached (by aminoacyl-tRNA synthetases). tRNAs cope with the degeneracy of the genetic code in two manners: having more than one tRNA (with a specific anti-codon) for a particular amino acid; and 'wobble' base-pairing, i.e. permitting non-standard base-pairing at the 3rd anti-codon position. Lineage: Eukaryota; Metazoa; Chordata; Mammalia; Rodentia; Cricetidae. The record is from Rfam by way of RNAcentral.